ACGUAGGGGGCAAGCGUUGAUCGGAAUCACUGGGCGUAAAGCGCACGUAGGCGGACUCUUAAGUCGGGGGUGAAAUCCUGGAGCUCAACUCCAGAACUGCCUUCGAUACUGAGAGACUUGAGUCCGGGAGAGGGGAGUGGAACUCCGAGUGUAGAGGUGAAAUGCGUAGAUAUCCGCAAGAACACCAGUGGCGAAGGCGGCUAACUGGACCGGUACUGACGCUGAGGUGCGAAAGCGUGGGGAGCAAACAG
This 251-nucleotide ribosomal RNA is filed under the name uncultured prokaryote. Its description in RNAcentral is "partial 16S ribosomal RNA". It matches the Rfam family "Bacterial small subunit ribosomal RNA", at positions 525 to 775 of the family's 1533-position model. The record is from RNAcentral.